AGUGAACGCUGGCGGUAGGCCUAACACAUGCAAGUCGAACGGCAGCACAGUAAGAGCUUGCUCUUACGGGUGGCGAGUGGCGGACGGGUGAGGAAUACAUCGGAAUCUACUUUUUCGUGGGGGAUAACGUAGGGAAACUUACGCUAAUACCGCAUACGACCUACGGGUGAAAGCAGGGGAUCUUCGGACCUUGCGCGAUUGAAUGAGCCGAUGUCGGAUUAGCUAGUUGGCGGGGUAAAGGCCCACCAAGGCGACGAUCCGUAGCUGGUCUGAGAGGAUGAUCCGCCACACUGGAACUGAGACACGGUCCAGACCCCUACGGGAGGCAGCAGUGGGGAAUAUUGGACAAUGGGCGCAAGCAUGAUCCAGCCAUACCGCGUGGGUGAAGAAGGCCUUCGGGUCGUAAAGCCCUUUUGUUGGGAAAGAAAAGCAGCAGGUUAAUACCCCGCUGUUCUGACGGUACCCAAAGAAUAAGCACCAGCUAACUUCGUG
This 492-nucleotide ribosomal RNA is filed under the name uncultured bacterium. RNAcentral's name for it is "partial 16S ribosomal RNA". It matches the Rfam family "Bacterial small subunit ribosomal RNA", at positions 29 to 507 of the family's 1533-position model. The record is from RNAcentral.